This 329-nucleotide ribosomal RNA is filed under the name uncultured Pseudomonadota bacterium. RNAcentral's name for it is "bacterial SSU rRNA". It matches the Rfam family "Bacterial small subunit ribosomal RNA", at positions 30 to 351 of the family's 1533-position model. Lineage: Bacteria; Pseudomonadati; Pseudomonadota. The record is from RNAcentral.
AUUGAACGCUGGCGGCAUGCCUAACACAUGCAAGUCGAACGGCAGCACAAUAAGUUUUCGGACUUAUGGGUGGCGAGUGGCGAACGGGUGAGUAAUGCGCAGGAAUAUACCUUAAAGAGGGGGAUAACUUGGGGAAACACAAGCUAAUACCGCAUAAUCUCUGAGGAGAGAAGCUGGGGACCUUCGGGCCUGGCGCUUUAAGAAUAGCCUGCGUCCGAUUAGCUAGUUGGUAGGGUAAAGGCCUACCAAGGCGACGAUCGGUAGCUGGUCUGAGAGGAUGAACAGCCACACUGGGACUGAGACACGGCCCAGACUCCUACGGGAGGCAG